UACGUAGGGUGCGAGCGUUGUCCGGAAUUAUUGGGCGUAAAGAGCUCGUAGGCGGUUUGUCGCGUCUGCCGUGAAAUCCUUCGGCUUAACCGAAGGCGUGCGGUGGGUACGGACAGACUAGAGUGUGGUAGGGGAGACUGGAAUUCCUGGUGUAGCGGUGGAGUGCGCAGAUAUCAGGAGGAACACCGGUGGCGAAGGCGGGUCUCUGGGCCACUACUGACGCUGAGGAGCGAAAGCAUGGGGAGCGAACAGGAUUAGAUACCCUGGUAGUCCCU
This 275-nucleotide ribosomal RNA is filed under the name uncultured prokaryote. Its description in RNAcentral is "partial 16S ribosomal RNA". It matches the Rfam family "Bacterial small subunit ribosomal RNA", at positions 524 to 798 of the family's 1533-position model. The record is from RNAcentral.